ACUCAAAUGAAUUGACGGGGACCCGCACAAGCGGUGGAGCGUGUUCUUUAAUUCGAUGCUAAACGAAGAACCUUACCAGGGUUUGACAUCCUUGGAAUUACUCCGAAAGGAGUGAGUACUUUAUUGGACCAAGUGACAGGUGUUGCAUGGCCGUCGUCAGCUCGUGUCGUGAGAUGUUUGGUUAAGUCCAUCAACGAGCGCAACCCUUAUGAAUAGUUGAAUUUUUCUAUUCAGACUGCCCCGGUAACGGGGAGGAAGGGGGGGAUGAUGUCAGGUCAGUAUUACCCUUAUAUCCUGGGCUAGAAACGCGCUACAAUGGUCGGUACAACGAGAAGCCAACCCGCGAGGGGGAGCAAAUCUCAUCAAAGCCGAUCCCAGUUCGGAUUGGAGGCUGAAACUCGCCUCCAUGAAGUCGGAAUCGCUAGUAAUCGCAGGUCAGCAAACUGCGGUGAAUACGUUCCCGGGUCUUGUACACACCGCCCGU
Molecule: ribosomal RNA, 484 nt
Filed under: uncultured bacterium
Lineage: Bacteria
Description: bacterial SSU rRNA
Rfam family: Bacterial small subunit ribosomal RNA
Source: RNAcentral